This is a long non-coding RNA of Stegastes partitus (bicolor damselfish), 955 nucleotides long. RefSeq lists it as uncharacterized. The record is from RefSeq and is a predicted model, not a curated record. The transcript has 3 exons. Lineage: Eukaryota; Metazoa; Chordata; Actinopteri; Pomacentridae.
CGGCGGUUUGUGCGUCUGUGGUUGUCGCGUUGUUGGUCGCUUCACUGAUGUUCGUCUACAAACGGAAGGCGAGACGCGACAGCGUUCAGUACGUGAACACCGUCAGAGACACCACAACCCCGGAGAGCGUCACCGACGGCGACGCAGGUUUCAGACGGGAAUCUGCGAUCUACCAGGAGCUGGAUGAGCUCGACACGGAGCAGAACCUGUACUGGUCCCUGGAGGUUGUACCGAACCGUCACCAAUAACCGGCUGAUCGAUAACCAAUAAAUGACGAGCACGUUUAAAGGAAAGACUGGGUCAGAACUCUGGAGCUGGACGUGAUUUUUAAAUUCAUCUAAAUGCUCAGAAAUGUUCUGGAACCUGCUGCAGGCGUUUGUCUGAGUCCAAAAUAUCUGGUAAUGAUAAAAAACAAUGAAAUGAAGACGACAUGAGAGAGCAGAGCACAGAACGCUUCAGCUACAGGAGGAUUCAGAGAAAUCUGACAUGAAUGCACAAAACAUCCUUAAAUGUGCUUCAGUUGUUCACAAUGAAACCAAACGUGGAGGAAAAAAAGUUUGAACAGAAGAACUGUGGUUCAGAAAUGACUCUUUGAUUUCAUUAUUUUCAGAAAUAAAGAUUUUAGGAUGCAUUGAACUAAAAUAACUUUUAGGAAUCCCUCUCACGCCUUCGUCUGAGUUUUCUGUCCAUUAAACUGUGACACAAGUCUGAGAGUCGAACCCAAAUAUAAUGAUGUUGCCAAAAAUCAGCGUCUGUCACAUUUGCAGGAUUUAUAGAAAAGAAAAUCAGAGUUUAUACGAUGCAGGACCAUCUUAGUUCAGCAGGACUUAAAGCUCCACAGAAGGAAACGUCCAACCAGGUUUAGCUCCAACCACCUCCAAAAAGUAAAAGAGAAUUCAAAACAAACCUGGAAAUAAAUGGUGCCGCGAGGACGCCAGAACAGAAAAACUAAAAC